AGGGCGCACGGUGGAUGCCUUGGCACUAGGAGCCGAUGAAGGACGGGGCAAACGCCGAAACGCUUCGGGGAGCUGUAAGCAAGCGUAGAUCCGGAGAUGUCCGAAUGGGGGAACCCACUGUCCGUAAUGGGGCAGUAUCCAUGCCUGAAUCCAUAGGGCAUGGAGGGCACACCCGGGGAACUGAAACAUCUUAGUACCCGGAGGAGAAGAAAGCAAAUGCGAUUCCCUGAGUAGCGGCGAGCGAAACGGGAACAGCCCAAACCAAGAGGCAUGUCCUCUUGGGGUUGUAGGACCGCUCACGAUGGGAGUGAGAAAGGAACGGGGUAGACGAACCGGUCUGGAACGGCCGGCCGGAGAAGGUGAGAGCCCUGUAGUCGAAACUUCGUUCCCUCCCGAGCGGAUCCUGAGUACGGCGGGACACGGGGAAUCCCGUCGGAAGCAGGGAGGACCAUCUCCCAAGGCUAAAUACUCCCUAGUGACCGAUAGUGCACCAGUACCGUGAGGGAAAGGUGAAAAGCACCCCGGGAGGGGAGUGAAAGAGAACCUGAAACCGUGUGCCUACAAGUAGUCAGAGCCCGUUGAUGGGUGAUGGCGUGCCUUUUGUAGAAUGAACCGGCGAGUGACGAUGGCGUGCGAGGUUAAGCCGAAGAGGCGGAGCCGCAGCGAAAGCGAGUCUGAAGAGGGCGUCAAGUACGUCGUCGUCGACCCGAAACCAGGUGAUCUACCCAUGUCCAGGGUGAAGGCCGGGUAACACCGGCUGGAGGCCCGAACCCACGCACGUUGAAAAGUGCGGGGAUGAGGUGUGGGUAGGGGUGAAAUGCCAAUCGAACUUGGAGAUAGCUGGUUCUCCCCGAAAUAGCUUUAGGGCUAGCCUCGGGUUUAAGAGUGUUGGAGGUAGAGCACUGAUUGGGCUAGGGGCCCCAACCGGGUUACCGAACCCAGUCAAACUCCGAAUGCCAACGACUUAUGCCCGGGAGUCAGACUGCGAGUGAUAAGAUCCGUGGUCGAGAGGGGAACAGCCCAGACCGCCAGCUAAGGCCCCGAAGUGCACGUUCAGUGGAAAAGGAUGUGGAGUUGCCAAGACAACCAGGAUGUUGGCUUAGAAGCAGCCACCAUUGAAAGAGUGCGUAAUAGCUCACUGGUCGAGUGGCUCUGCGCCGAAAAUGUACCGGGGCUAAACGUGCCGCCGAAGCUGCGGGAUGACCGUUGGUCAUCGGUAGGGGAGCGUUCUAAGGGCAGAGAAGCCAGACCGGAAGGACUGGUGGAGCGCUUAGAAGUGAGAAUGCCGGUAUGAGUAGCGAAAACAGAGGUGAGAAUCCUCUGCGCCGAAAGCCUAAGGGUUCCUGAGGAAGGUUCGUCCGCUCAGGGUUAGUCGGGACCUAAGCCGAGGCCGAAAGGCGUAGGUGAUGGACAACAGGUGGAGAUUCCUGUACCACCUUCUUCCCGUUUGAGCGAUGGGGGGACGCAGGAGGAUAGGGCGAGCAGGCGGCUGGAAGAGCCUGUCCAAGCCGUGAGGCUGAUCCGCAGGCAAAUCCGCGGAUCGCAAGGCCAAGCGGUGACGGCGACGGAGCAUUCCGGAAGUCCCUGAUUCCACACUGCCAAGAAAAGCCUCUAGCGAGGGAAGAGGUGCCCGUACCGCAAACCGACACAGGCAGGCGAGGAGAGAAUCCUAAGGCGCGCGGGAGAACUCUCGUUAAGGAACUCGGCAAAAUGACCCCGUAACUUCGGGAGAAGGGGUGCUCUUUCGGGUGAAGAGCCUGGAAGAGCCGCAGUGAAAAGGCCCAAGCGACUGUUUAUCAAAAACACAGGUCUCUGCGAAGCCGAAAGGCGACGUAUAGGGGCUGACACCUGCCCGGUGCUGGAAGGUUAAGGGGAGCGCUUAGCGGAAGCGAAGGUGCGAACCGAAGCCCCAGUAAACGGCGGCCGUAACUAUAACGGUCCUAAGGUAGCGAAAUUCCUUGUCGGGUAAGUUCCGACCCGCACGAAAGGUGUAACGACUUGGGCGCUGUCUCAACGAGAGACCCGGUGAAAUUAUACUACCUGUGAAGAUGCAGGUUACCCGCGACAGGACGGAAAGACCCCGUGGAGCUUUACUGCAGCCUGAUAUGGA
RNAcentral lists this ribosomal RNA (2110 nucleotides) under Geobacillus kaustophilus. RNAcentral's name for it is "bacterial LSU rRNA". It matches the Rfam family "Bacterial large subunit ribosomal RNA", at positions 14 to 2120 of the family's 2925-position model. Lineage: Bacteria; Bacillati; Bacillota; Bacilli; Caryophanales; Anoxybacillaceae. The record is from RNAcentral.